CGCGGCCUAUCAGCUUGUUGGUGGGGUAAUGGCCUACCAAGGCAACGACGGGUAGCCGACCUGAGAGGGUGACCGGCCACACUGGGACUGAGACACGGCCCAGACUCCUACGGGAGGCAGCAGUGGGGAAUAUUGCACAAUGGGCGAAAGCCUGAUGCAGCGACGCCGCGUGAGGGACGAAGGCCUUCGGGUUGUAAACCUCUUUCAGCAGGGACGAAGCGCAAGUGACGGUACCUGCAGAAGAAGCACCGGCUAACUACGUGCCAGCAGCCGCGGUAAUACGUAGGGUGCGAGCGUUGUCCGGAAUUACUGGGCGUAAAGAGUUCGUAGGCGGUUUGUCGCGUCGUUUGUGAAAACCCGGGGCUCAACUUCGGGCUUGCAGGCGAUACGGGCAGACUUGAGUGUUUCAGGGGAGACUGGAAUUCCUGGUGUAGCGGUGAAAUGCGCAGAUAUCAGGAGGAACACCGGUGGCGAAGGCGGGUCUCUGGGAAACGACUGACGCUGAGGAACGAAAGCGUGGGUAGCAAACAGGAUUAGAUACCCUGGUAGUCCACGCCGUAAACGGUGGGCGCUAGGUGUGGGUUCCUUCCACGGAAUCUGUGCCGUAGCUAACGCAUUAAGCGCCCCGCCUGGGGAGUACGG
This 642-nucleotide ribosomal RNA is filed under the name uncultured Actinomycetes bacterium. Its description in RNAcentral is "bacterial SSU rRNA". It matches the Rfam family "Bacterial small subunit ribosomal RNA", at positions 232 to 885 of the family's 1533-position model. Lineage: Bacteria; Bacillati; Actinomycetota; Actinomycetes. The record is from RNAcentral.